This is a long non-coding RNA of Ruditapes philippinarum (Manila clam), 879 nucleotides long. RefSeq lists it as uncharacterized. The record is from RefSeq and is a predicted model, not a curated record. Lineage: Eukaryota; Metazoa; Mollusca; Bivalvia; Venerida; Veneridae. The transcript has 3 exons.
GGUCGCACACGGACUAUUUUGGUUUUGUCGUGACACGGCUCAUAUGAAUUCGACAACUUCCGGUUUACUAUAUGACCUACUUAGUUUAAACAAUAUUUUAUUAAUAAUCCACACAUUUACAUAAUAAAUAACAUAAAAUAAAAUUUACGGAUUGAGUAUGACCUACUUGACAAGCAUAUCGACCUGUAUAGCCCAUAAGGGAAAUAAAAGAUCAUUUACUCCAAUAUUCACUUGGAAAGGCUGGUACAUGUAAUAAGCUAGAAAAAAGAAUAAGAUUAAAGAAUUUAGACAAGAAGAUGAUCACAAACAACAGGUGGACAUGUGUUACUGUCAAGCAAAUGAAGAUUAGCACCACAGUCUGUGGGAAUCUCCAGUUUCCAGAUGUAGUGAUCAUAACUGUAGAGGCACCAAUAUGAACACUUGGGACUACAUAUAGUUGGACUAUUUUAGAGGGGUAGUCACUAGUCUGAGUUACCACUUCAGUUGAAUCCCCUGUCAAGAACAUUGUGUUGAAGGAAAAUGUUAACUCUAGUUGUUUUGGCUUCAAACAAAACCAUGACACUUACCCAGCAGUGAUAGAUUAAACCAAUUGUGAUAUUUUGACUGUUUCCCCAAAAGUUUCCAUGAAUUGAAGCUCCUGGGACUUGUGUAACAUAUGACUGCACAUUCCAAAAUUUAUUAAAUAUUGUGUAAUGUUUAGCAAUGUUGUGUAAAUACAUUCAGAGCUAGUAUAACAUGUAUCUUAGCUUGCCUGGUUUAAUGAAAAGUAAUGAACCUGAGAAUUGAAACUAGAAUAAAUUGUUGUUAUUAGUCCCCUUCUGUUAUCACCAAGAGGGGACAAAAGGCUGACCCCUUUCUGUAAGUCAAUGAAAUCUGAAU